RNAcentral lists this long non-coding RNA (1187 nucleotides) under Medicago truncatula (barrel medic). RNAcentral's name for it is "long non-coding RNA (MTRU_LNC003214)". Lineage: Eukaryota; Viridiplantae; Streptophyta; Magnoliopsida; Fabales; Fabaceae. The record is from RNAcentral.
UGAUGAGAUAAAACCGCAAGUGCACGGUCUUACCGAAGUAGUAUAAAAGAGUAUCGUUCCGACAGGGAGUUAUGAAUUCAAUCAACUUUAGAUAAUGAUUAGACUAAAGGUUUAUAAGAUAGAAAAGUUUGGGUUUUUUUAAUUAAAAGUAAAUAAUAAAAGAAAAGAUAAAAGUCUUGGAAUUAUUGGUUCAUCCUAAUGACAAGUCCUUCACAAACCAAACUAUUAAACUUAUAACCUUAUGUUAGACCUAAUUUCUCAAGACAGUUUCUCUUUUGUUCCUCUAGCAACCAAGCCUAUUUCGCUGACUUGAUUACUAUUAGAUUUUGGUUCCUCUAACAACCAAGCCUAUUUCGCUGACUUGAUCAUUAUUAGUUCCCUUGAAGAUCGAAACUAUAUGUCUCAAAGAUUGUAAAGACUAUUUCGCUGCCUUUACAAUCUUUGUCUAAAUUCACUUGUUCGAAUAUCAAAGCUCCACUUUCGUUUUAUGAAUUGAUAUUUGAGAUGAUGGAUAAACAAUUAUCAAACCCUCCACUUUCGUUUCCACAGUUUGAUAAUGGUUGAUCCAUGUUAAAGCGGUGAAUUUAGAUAAGGAAUUAGGGUUACAUAAGAUUAAGGUUUAAAGCUUGGUUUGAUUAGGAUUAUGUCAUUAGACUUAUCCAACAAUCCCAAGACAAGAGAAGUCUACUCACUGACGUUCAUUGUAGACAAGGAGAAGAAGAGAGAAAGCAUAAAGAUAAAUAACAAGAAAGUAAAAUGAACUUUUGUUAGAAAGACAAUUGUCACAUAUUGUAUUCCCAGAAAAGAUGAUUAUUUGUGAUGGAUGGCUACUCUAUUUAUAGCAUUUAUUCGACUUAAAAUCUAAGCUACUACAUUUGGGCUAAAAAUAGAGUAGCUUAAAAUCUAAGCAAAAGCAGCAAAAGAGGCAUUGGAAGGUGGCACGGCCGUGCCAAGCCUAGCACGGGCCGUGCGAAGGUUCUGACUUGGGGGAGACAUAUUUUGUCUUCCGAAUCUUCGUAUUUCUGCACCGAAUCAGCUCCAAUCCUCAUUCUUUUGCUCCAAGACUCAAUCCAUCCAAUAUUCAUUCCUGAAAUAUAAAAUAUGCAAUUGUAGUAAUAUAAUUCAAAAAGGAAAUAUUAUAAAUAUAAAUAUAACUAAAAUCUAAAUAAAACAAUACUAAAUAUUAU